This 618-nucleotide ribosomal RNA is filed under the name uncultured bacterium. Its description in RNAcentral is "bacterial SSU rRNA". It matches the Rfam family "Bacterial small subunit ribosomal RNA", at positions 153 to 788 of the family's 1533-position model. The record is from RNAcentral.
GAAAGCUGUGCUAAAACCGCAUAAAGCUUAAGAAUCGCAUGAUUUUUGAGUCAAAGAUUUAUCGGCAUAGGAUGGGCCCGCGUCUGAUUAGCUAGUUGGUGGGGUAAAGGCUCACCAAGGCGACGAUCAGUAGCCGACCUGAGAGGGUGAUCGGCCACACUGGAACUGAGACACGGUCCAGACUCCUACGGGAGGCAGCAGUGGGGAAUAUUGCACAAUGGGGGAAACCCUGAUGCAGCAACGCCGCGUGAGUGAAGAAGGCCUUCGGGUCGUAAAGCUCUGUCCUAAGGGAAGAAUAAAUGACGGUACCUUAGGAGGAAGCCCCGGCUAACUACGUGCCAGCAGCCGCGGUAAUACGUAGGGGGCAAGCGUUAUCCGGAAUCAUUGGGCGUAAAGGGUGCGUAGGCGGUCAAUAAAGUCAGGGGUGAAAGGCUACGGCUCAACCGUAGUAAGCCCUUGAAACUUAGUGACUUGAGUGCAGGAGAGGUAAGUGGAAUUCCUAGUGUAGCGGUGAAAUGCGUAGAUAUUAGGAGGAACACCAGUGGCGAAGGCGACUUACUGGACUGUAACUGACGCUGAGGCACGAAAGCGUGGGGAGCAAACAGGAUUAGAUACCCU